This 497-nucleotide ribosomal RNA is filed under the name uncultured bacterium. RNAcentral's name for it is "partial 16S ribosomal RNA". It matches the Rfam family "Bacterial small subunit ribosomal RNA", at positions 28 to 507 of the family's 1533-position model. The record is from RNAcentral.
GAUGAACGCUGGCGGCGUGCCUAAUACAUGCAAGUCGAGCGAACAGACGAGGAGCUUGCUCCUCUGACGUUAGCGGCGGACGGGUGAGUAACACGUGGAUAACCUACCUAUAAGACUGGGAUAACUUCGGGAAACCGGAGCAAAUACCGGAUAAUAUAUUGAACCGCAUGGUUCAAUGGUGAAAGACGGUGUUGCUGUCACGUAUAGAGGGAUCCGCGCCGCAUUAGCUAGUUGGUAAGGUAACGGCUUACCAAGGCAACGAUGCGUAGCCGACCUGAGAGAGUGGUCGGCGGCCUGAGAGCUGGAACGCGGUCAAGGCGACUAAGGGAGGCAGCAGAAGGCAACCUGACGCAACAGGCGAAAGCCUGACGGAGCAACGCGAAGUGUGUGAUGAAGAUCUUCGGAUCGUAAAGCUCUCUUAUUAGGGAAGAACAAAUGUGGAAGUAGAUAUGCCCGUCUUGACGGUACCUAAUCAGAAAGCCACGGCUAACUACGUG